CUGCCAGACUCCUACGGGAGGCAGCAGUGAGGAAUAUUGGUCAAUGGCCGAAGGGCUGAACCAGCCAAGCCGCGUGAAGGAAUAAGGCCCUACGGGUCGUAAACUUCUUUAGUCAGGGAACAAAGGGAGCCACGCGUGGCGCUGUGAGUGUACCUGAAGAAUAAGCAUCGGCUAACUCCGUGCCAGCAGCCGCGGUAAUACGGAGGAUGCGAGCGUUAUCCGGAUUUAUUGGGUUUAAAGGGUGCGCAGGCGGAAUGUCAAGUCAGCGGUAAAAUUUCGGGGCUCAACCCCGUCGUGCCGUUGAAACUGGCAGUCUCGAGUUGGAGAGAAGUAUGCGGAAUGCGCGGUGUAGCGGUGAAAUGCAUAGAUAUCGCGCAGAGCUCCGAUUGCGAAGGCAGCAUGCCGGCUCCACACUGACGCUGAGGCACGAAAGCGUGGGUAUCGAACAGGAUUAGAUACCCGGGUAUU
RNAcentral lists this ribosomal RNA (468 nucleotides) under uncultured bacterium. Its description in RNAcentral is "bacterial SSU rRNA". It matches the Rfam family "Bacterial small subunit ribosomal RNA", at positions 328 to 794 of the family's 1533-position model. The record is from RNAcentral.